CGUCUUCUGAAGGCGUGUAUAUGUGCUACGGGAAACGAAAGGAAAAGAGGAACCCCAUGAAGCGGAAUGUUGUUUGCUGGAAGAGUGGAGAGCCUGGACACAUGAAGAAAGAUUGUCCAGCAGGUGGAGAAGGUUCGGCUAUAGGCUCCAAGUCAAGUGAUGCUGUUAAUAUGGUCUUUGAUAGGAACCCAUAUGACCUUAUAUGACCCAAAAACAUGUACAUCCUUAUGGCAUGCCGCUAUUUGCCAUGGUAAAAGAUGUGAGAUUAAUAGCGGAAUUACACAGGGGCAUUGGUUUGGCAGGAAUGCAAGGUGUGUGAUGAAACAGUUAUGUCGAUAGCUGAUGGACUUCCAAGGAGAGCCAAUAGUGGAGGUUGCACCAUAAUAAUCAGUAAGGUGUUUUUCGACAUCAGCCGAAGUGGAAAUUCUUAGAAUGGCUUAUUCUAAGU
This 448-nucleotide long non-coding RNA is filed under the name Nicotiana benthamiana. Its description in RNAcentral is "long non-coding RNA (NBEN_LNC014086)". Lineage: Eukaryota; Viridiplantae; Streptophyta; Magnoliopsida; Solanales; Solanaceae. The record is from RNAcentral.